UUUGUUGUCUCAUUUCACAACAAUUGGUUGGCAAUUGUGUUCCAGAGAAGAAAAAUGAGACUUGUAGAGGAUGGUGGUGGUUCUUUUUCCCAGGAAAUGAGGUAAAUCAGAGAGCAGGUGUCUCAUGUCCCAGUCCUGUGCUCAGGCUGGUUCCAAGGUAAAUCACACCCCAGGCUCUGCAAAUGGGAACUAUAGAGGCAAGGAAGCAGUGGGGAAUACAGUGGGGGAAAGAACCCAGCUGGCUUCAGGAGAUAAACGUUUAUGGAUUUCUGCAGUUUUAUCAACUUGCUGGCCGCAAGGGAAAAGGAGAUGCUUAUCAAGCACCUAUUUAUGCACCUGGUGAUUUUUAUGUAUUAUCUAUGAUCUUAUUUAUUUCCUCUAAAAAUUUUAUGAAGAAUAUAUAAUUAUCCCCUUUCAUAGUUGAGGACCCUGGGAUUUUAAAAGGGUAAGAGGCUUCCUCGAAGUCAUACAGUAAAUUAGCUGCAGAUGAGAGAGGACAGAGUCUUCAAACUCUACUGUGCUGUUUCUUAGGGCUUGAGCAUUUUUGCUUGUCAAGAUGCAGGGGUUAGCCUCUAUCAGAUAUUGCAGACCUUCAGUGCGUGUGUAAAUAUUUCCGGUUUGGCCCCGUGAUGUUUCAAACAUUUAAAAUUAUUGGUUAACCUUUCGACAGUCCAAGACUACUUGUAACAUCAGAUUUCCAUCUUCUCUUAAAAGACUGGAGGACUCAAAACUUCAGGAGCUGAGUAAUGGUGACCCCUUCAGUAGCAUGGGUUGUCUGUGGGUAGCCGCAUGUCUCCAUGCCUAGGCUGGUUCAUUCAUUUAUGCUGCUUCCCUGGCCCUUCCAUCAUCUGAAUUGACAGGAAAGGGAAUAAAGGAUAAGAUGCUGUAUUGAUGGGGCUGGGAGGUGGGAGGGGGCUCAGUUUCUCCCUGAGGGACAGAAAUUGUGAGGCCUGAGUUUGGAGGCAGCCAGGCUAUGAGUCAUGGAGGCUGCUGGCUAAUUGCCCUUCUUUGCAUUACAUGAGAGAAUUUGAAAUCUGGGGUCUGUUCUUAGUCCAAGAGAUAAACCUUUACCAAUCUCAAAAAUGAUAUUAAAAACUCUUUUUUGAUGAUCUCACUCAUAUAAGACCUUAUGCUCUAAAUAAAGCUCUUUCACAUGCCAUGUAACUUGCAGAUCAUCUAGGAGGGAGAUGGAGCAGUCAGUGUUGUCCCUGUCACUCAGUUGAGGAAAUGGGGGGCUGUGGAGAUGGGGAUGGCACCACAUUAAGUUACAAGAUGAGUGCAAAGCAGAAUCAUGAACCAACUGUCCCGAUUUCCAUCCUAGUACCAAUUCCAUUAGCUAUGCCUCAUCUGGGCAGGUUGACAUGCUAGCUGUCUCAGUCAUCCAUGAUCCUUCCAAUGGGAUUGCUUUUCAAGAUGCCACUGCCAUAUUCUUUUUCCUAGAAUUCUCAGGACUGAGUUUUAAGUUGGAUAUAUAUACAUAUAUAUAUAUAUAUAUAUAUAUAUAUAUAUAUAUAUACCCAAAUGCCCCUGUCUCUAUAGAGAGAGGGAAAAGGGGAAGAAAGAUCAUCUCAGUCAUUUCCUUAAAAAUAAUCCAAGUCACCAUUUGAGAGGCUGGUGUCACUUGACCCCUCAUUAUUUGGUGAGUCUGGGCAGGUGGCACAAGUUGAUGUUGUCUUCCAAUGGACACAGCUGUUGCUAGAUCUUUUUGGCAAUUUUAAAGUAGAGUUCUGGCCCCAUGAGGAGGCCAUGUGUUCUCCUCCUCCCUCUGUGCUGUUGUUUUUAGAUGGAGGAACAAAAAUAACCAUUGAGGAAUACCAUGAAAGCUGCCAGAGAGGCUGUUGUGCUCUUCUCCAAGAAUCUGUUUCAAAAUGUUUAAUGUUUCUUAAGUGAAAAGUAUUUGGGAAUCGGGGCUGCCAGAGUGUUCAUCAGUAAUGUCCUCCCCAGUAUUACUGCAAAACAGAUGGCAAGUUAAGUUUCCUGAUGAGUGUAUGAGACAUUCCAGGUGCUUGGGCUGGUUCAAAGGAAAGCCCUCCCCAAGACAAAAAUGUAAAUAUACAACCACCUACAUAUUUAGAGACCACCAGGACUGGAAAGGUAUCCUUAAUCCCCAAAAUGUUUCCUUUCUCAACUUAGUUAUCAAUUAAAUGCUUUCAAUCAUUGAUACAGCAUUUUAUCGUGGUUUGAGAUAGUAUAAAUUGUAAAUAAAAUGCAAAAAGGAAAUACAGUUGACCUGGUAUAUGCAAUAUUGCACACAUCAUUCCAUGCAAUCCCACCCCAGGGGCAGAACUUGACAGGGGAUAUAAGUUGAAUUAGGAGGGGUGCUAUAAGGAAAGUCAGAGUUAGGGACAACAUGCAUGGCAUUACAGAGAUAAGAGGUAGAGAGAAUGCUAUUGGAGCCAAUGGCAAAAUUUUCCUAUGGUAUAAUUAAAUUUUAAAAUAUUGCAGUUCUAUUACACAUAGCUAAAAAAAAUUAGGGUACUAGAAAGCUUUUAUUGAAAAAUAGCAGGCUAUUUUUCCCUAUCUUUUCUAUCCACCAGUCCUACUUCUUGGAAGUAACCAAUUUCCAUUUUUUUUCUCACAUUUAUUUCUAUAUCUCUUUUUUAAAAGAUGUUAUUUAUUUGAGAGAGAGACAGAUAGAGAGAGAGAGAGAGCACAAGCUGGGGGAGGGGCAGAGAGAGAGAGGGAGACAGAAUCCCAAGCAGACUCUGUGCUAAGUGUGGAGCCCCAUAGGGGGAGAUCGUAGGACCCUGCGAACAUGACCUGAGCCAAAAUCAAGAGUUGGACUUUAACUUAUUGAGCCACCCAGGCACCUCUCUCUAUUUCUAAAUAAUGGGUUUAUGCUGCUCUUACUCGAUAUAUCAGUUUUAGACAAUUCUUAUGGUUAUAAGAAUUUUACCACUUCAAGGGGAACCUGGGUGGCUCAGUAGUUGAGCGUCUGCCUUUGGCUCAGGGCGUGAUCCCAGGGUUCUGGGAUCAAGUCCCACAUCGGGCUCCCUGCAGGGAGCCUGCUUCUCCCUCUGCCUGUGUUUCUGCCUCUCUCUGUGUCUCUCAUGAAUAAAUAAAUAAAAUCUUUUUUUAAAAAAAGAAUUU
Molecule: long non-coding RNA, 3090 nt
Filed under: Canis lupus familiaris (dog)
Lineage: Eukaryota; Metazoa; Chordata; Mammalia; Carnivora; Canidae
Description: lncRNA (ENSCAFG00845007275.1)
Source: RNAcentral